RNAcentral lists this ribosomal RNA (272 nucleotides) under Triticum aestivum (bread wheat). RNAcentral describes it as "partial 18S ribosomal RNA". It matches the Rfam family "Eukaryotic small subunit ribosomal RNA", at positions 1007 to 1273 of the family's 1831-position model. Lineage: Eukaryota; Viridiplantae; Streptophyta; Magnoliopsida; Poales; Poaceae. The record is from RNAcentral.
CUCCCUCUUGGCCGCCGUCCUAGUCUCAACCAUAAACGAUGCCGACCAGGGAUCGGCGGAUGUUGCUUAUAGGACUCCGCCGGCACCUUAUGAGAAAUCAAAGUCUUUGGGUUCCGGGGGGAGUUAUGGUCGCAAGGCUGAAACUUAAAGGAAUUGACGGAAGGGCACCACCAGGCGUGGAGUCUGCGGCUUAAUUUGACUCAACGGGGAAACUUACCAGGUCCAGACAUAGCAAGGAUUGACGGUCUGGAGANCUCUUUCUUUUACUAUAA